CGGGACGUGGCGCAGUCCGGUAGCGCACUGCAAUGGGGUUGCAGGGGUCGCCGGUUCGAAUCCGGGCGUCCCGA
This 74-nucleotide transfer RNA is filed under the name Gemmatimonadota bacterium. RNAcentral describes it as "Gemmatimonadetes bacterium (marine sediment metagenome) tRNA-Pro". It matches the Rfam family "tRNA". From Rfam's summary of the family: Transfer RNA (tRNA) molecules are approximately 80 nucleotides in length. RNAcentral also lists the same sequence under 1 other name. The record is from RNAcentral. Lineage: Bacteria; Pseudomonadati; Gemmatimonadota.